RNAcentral lists this ribosomal RNA (673 nucleotides) under Bacillus sp. MZ0342H. RNAcentral's name for it is "bacterial SSU rRNA". It matches the Rfam family "Bacterial small subunit ribosomal RNA", at positions 91 to 749 of the family's 1533-position model. The record is from RNAcentral. Lineage: Bacteria; Bacillati; Bacillota; Bacilli; Caryophanales; Bacillaceae.
CUUAGCGGCGGACGGGUGAGUAACACGUGGGCAACCUGCCCCAUAGACUGGGAUAACUCCGGGAAACCGGAGCUAAUACCGGAUAAUCCCUUUCUCCACCUGGAGAGAGGGUGAAAGAUGGCUUCGGCUAUCACUAAGGGAUGGGCCCGCGGCGCAUUAGCUAGUUGGUAAGGUAACGGCUUACCAAGGCGACGAUGCGUAGCCGACCUGAGAGGGUGAUCGGCCACACUGGGACUGAGACACGGCCCAGACUCCUACGGGAGGCAGCAGUAGGGAAUCUUCCGCAAUGGACGAAAGUCUGACGGAGCAACGCCGCGUGAGUGAGGAAGGCCUUCGGGUCGUAAAGCUCUGUUGUGAGGGAAGAAGCGGUGCCGUUCGAAUAGGGCGGUACCUUGACGGUACCUCACCAGAAAGCCACGGCUAACUACGUGCCAGCAGCCGCGGUAAUACGUAGGUGGCAAGCGUUGUCCGGAAUUAUUGGGCGUAAAGCGCGCGCAGGCGGCUUCUUAAGUCUGAUGUGAAAUCUCGGGGCUCAACCCCGAGCGGCCAUUGGAAACUGGGGAGCUUGAGUGCAGAAGAGGAGAGUGGAAUUCCACGUGUAGCGGUGAAAUGCGUAGAGAUGUGGAGGAACACCAGUGGCGAAGGCGACUCUCUGGUCUGUAACUGACGCUGA